GGUGUCGCGGAAUGUGGUGUUUAGGAGGACCGUGCGCGUCUGUCCGGUAUCGUCCAAGUCUCCAUGAAUGGGGCCAGCAACCCAGAGAGGGUGUCAGGCCCGUAGGACUGAGCCGCGACGGCGUAUUGGGUCUCUCCUUAGAGUCGGGUUGCUUGAGAGUGCAGCCCUAAGUGGGAGGUAAACUCCUUCUAAGGCUAAAUACGGCCACGAGACCGAUAGCGAACAAGUACCGCGAGGGAAAGUUGAAAAGAACUUUGAAGAGAGAGUUCAAUAGUGCGUGAAACCGUUCAGGGGGUUAAACGGGUGGGCCCUCGAAGGUCGAACGCUCCCUACUCGCGUCUCCGCUCGUCGGUCCGUGCCGCUUUUCCGAUCUCGCUACGGGACGGAGCGGUGCGGUAACUGGUGCGAGCGGGGGCGUUUAGUUAGGGGGCCAGUAGGACUCCGCAACCGUCUGGAGCUAGUCGUCAGAAGGGCUCUGGUAGAAAGCCUCCUCGUGGGGUGGACUCCGGGGUUCCGGGCGAUCUCUCCGGCCGUGAACCGGCAUUCCACUCGGCUGGCGUUCGUGACGAGCUUCCCCUUCACGGGGGGAGUUGUCGGUUGCGGGCGUCACCGGGGGACGCUAGCGGAGAGUAGAGUCGGGUCCCACCCGACCCGUCUUGAAACACGGACCAAGGAGUCUAACAUGUGCGCGAGUCGUCGG
RNAcentral lists this ribosomal RNA (700 nucleotides) under Ozestheria cf. packardi I MS-2015. Its description in RNAcentral is "eukaryotic LSU rRNA". It matches the Rfam family "Eukaryotic large subunit ribosomal RNA", at positions 132 to 697 of the family's 3401-position model. The record is from RNAcentral. Lineage: Eukaryota; Metazoa; Arthropoda; Branchiopoda; Diplostraca; Cyzicidae.